This 252-nucleotide ribosomal RNA is filed under the name uncultured bacterium. Its description in RNAcentral is "partial 16S ribosomal RNA". It matches the Rfam family "Bacterial small subunit ribosomal RNA", at positions 524 to 776 of the family's 1533-position model. The record is from RNAcentral.
UACGGAGGAUGCGAGCGUUAUCCGGAUUUAUUGGGCUUAAAGGGUGCGUAGGCGGGAUGCCAAGUCAGCGGUAAAAAUGCGGUGCUCAACGCCGUCGAGCCGUUGAAACUGGCGUUCUUGAGUGGGCGAGAAGUGUGCGGAAUGCGUGGUGUAGCGGUGAAAUGCAUAGAUAUCACGCAGAACUCCGAUUGCGAAGGCAGCAUACCGGCGCCCUACUGACGCUGAGGCACGAAAGCGUGGGUAUCGAACAGG